CUAGUUAAAAAGUGGGCACGCAGGCCUUUUUAUAUGCAAAAUGACAUCAUCAUUGAAUAUCAGAUAAUAACAAAUAAACAUCAUUAAUUGGGUUAAAUGUUAAGUGGCUAUGUCAGUGUCCACCCAUUAAUAUUAUUAAUUGGUUCAGAGAUUUGAGUGACUAGUGAGGCACCCUCCCAUCAUGGGAUGUCGUCGCCAUUGCUCUUUAGCACGAGGC
Pelobates cultripes (western spadefoot toad) is the source of this 217-nucleotide non-coding RNA. Lineage: Eukaryota; Metazoa; Chordata; Amphibia; Anura; Pelobatidae. The record is from the annotation of a GenBank genome assembly.